RNAcentral lists this ribosomal RNA (331 nucleotides) under uncultured eukaryote. Its description in RNAcentral is "partial 18S ribosomal RNA". It matches the Rfam family "Eukaryotic small subunit ribosomal RNA", at positions 1470 to 1796 of the family's 1831-position model. The record is from RNAcentral.
CCCUUAGAUGUUCUGGGCCGCACGCGCGCUACACUGAUGAAUUCAACGAGUUUAGAACCUUGGCUGGGAAGCCUGGGUAAUCUUGUAAAUGUUCAUCGUGAUGGGGCUAGAUUAUUGCAAUUUUUAAUCUUAAACGAGGAAUUCCUAGUAAACGCAAGUCAUCAGCUUGCAUUGAUUACGUCCCUGCCCUUUGUACACACCGCCCGUCGCACCUACCGAUUGAAUGGUCCGGUGAAUUCUUCGGACUGUGGCGUUGGAUCGUUUUCGGACGAGACAUUGCUGUGGGAAGUUGAUUAAACCUUACCAUUUAGAGGAAGGUGAAGUCGUANCA